GUAUAUUUAUUGUUACUUCUUUCAGAUCCUUUUCUUGGUGUGUCUUGAUGUUUUCUAUUGGCUAAAGAAAUGUCUCUGUGAAACUGACAAUCUCAGGUAGGAGCUGCUGGUUUGUGGUUGGCAGUAUGGAUCACAGUCUGCGACUCAUGAGGAGCUGGGCUGGAGACAUGAAGAGGUUGUCAACAGGCCAUCCAUCCAAGAUCAUCUAUCUGAGCUGCUGAAAACUGCCUCGGUACGGAUCUGUUGGAGCUUUGUGUCACUGACUGUAUUUCUGCAAAUUCCUGUUCCGUGUCACAUGGCUUAUGCAAGACUGAAUCCAUAAAGGGGAUGGUCUGUGGAGACUGUGGGCGAUUCCUUCUGCUGUCAUUUAAACAUGAGCAGGAGUAAUGACGGGAUUUAAAUGGACGCAGCUAAUAUUAUGCCAGAGUCCGCUGCUUAUGCUGUAACCAUAAAGCAACCAGGACAACACACCUGGAGUGACCGAGAGCAUGAUGAAGAAAGAAUCGGACGAGAAAAUAUCAACUGGUGCCCAUGAUGAGACAUAUUGUUCUUGGACCUGCUUUUUCUGUUUAGUAAUAAGUGGUUUUAUGUGGUUACAUAAAAGUAAUUUAAUAUUCAAUCCACAAGCUAAAUUUCCUACAUUUUCUUAAAAGGGUAGUUGACCCAAAAAUGAAAAUUCUGUCAUUUACACAAACAGUUUGGUUACAAACAUUUCUCACAAUAUCUGCCUUCCUGUUUAUCAGAACAAAGAAAUUUAUGUGGGUUUGUAACAACAUGAGAGUGUGUAAAUGAUGACAUAAUUUUCAUUUUUGGGUGAAGUACCCCUUUAACAUUUUUAUACCCAGGGGUAGGGGUGUGCAGCGGAGUCAGUAUUUGUAUCUGUAACAGUCUCAAAAUUAUUUGUAUCUGUAUUUGUAUUAUAACUUAAAUAACUGUAAAUAU
Non-coding RNA from Paramisgurnus dabryanus, 942 nucleotides. Lineage: Eukaryota; Metazoa; Chordata; Actinopteri; Cypriniformes; Cobitidae. The record is from RefSeq and is a predicted model, not a curated record.